This 104-nucleotide small nuclear RNA is filed under the name Neotoma lepida (desert woodrat). The record is from RNAcentral. Lineage: Eukaryota; Metazoa; Chordata; Mammalia; Rodentia; Cricetidae.
GUGCUCACUUCAGCAGCACAUACACUAAAACUGGAAAAAUACAUAGAUUAGCAUGUCUCCUGUGCAAGGAUGACAUGCAGAUUUGUGAAGGAUUUCAUAUAUAA